Molecule: long non-coding RNA, 862 nt
Organism: Castor canadensis (American beaver)
Lineage: Eukaryota; Metazoa; Chordata; Mammalia; Rodentia; Castoridae
Source: RefSeq, a predicted model, not a curated record
GGAGUUCUUCUGCUGACUCAGUUGCAAACUGAAGUCUGAGAAACUGUUCUUAGCUGAGUGUCUGAAGGCCACCUGCAUGCCUAGAUUCAUGGCCUUUCUCCAUCUUCAAAGCCAGCAGCAUCUCUAAUGUUCCUGCCUCCUUCUUACUAGGAUCCUUGUGACUGACUCUGUACACCUAGUGUUGGAGAUUGAGCCCUCAAGAGAAGGCUGUUCACUAAGAGGACCCUCAUAUAAAACUGGAACAUAUAUCCAUUCCAACAGAUGCACAAUUCACAACAUAAAAAGAAAAGAGAUAUGAAAAAGCAAGGCAACAUGACUUCUCCAAAACGUCUUCACUCUUUAAUAGUUAAAUCCAAAGAUACUGAAAUGGAUGAAAUGCUGGACAAAGAAUUCAAAAGAAUUAAAAGUUCAUUUAGAUAAUUAUCAGUGACCCCAACCAGGAUUCAGAUAAAUAAAUGGAUGAAAUAAAAAGUCAAUUCAAGACUUGGAUGAGAAAUUCAGCAGAGAUGAAGAUUCUGAAACCAAAUGGAAAUCUUGGAAAUGAGAAAGUUCAGUAAGUCAAAUAAUAAAACCCAUCAUCAGUAGACUUGGGCAACCAAAAAGAAAGAAUAUCAUGUUCUAAAGACAAGGUUGAGGAAUUACUACAUUCAGAGAAAAAUAAAGAAAAAGAAACCAGUCAUUCCCACAAUAUCGAAGAACUCUGGGAUAAAAUAAAGAUACCAAACCUAUGAAUCUGAAUUGUAGAUACAUAUAAAGGCAUUUUAAAAACUUAUUCAAUGAAGUUAUAGCAGAAAAUUUCCCAGAUUUCAGGAACAUCCAAGUACAAGAGGCAUUUAACCCUAAACAGACAUGGCCAGAAAAG